Molecule: ribosomal RNA, 497 nt
Filed under: uncultured bacterium
Lineage: Bacteria
Description: partial 16S ribosomal RNA
Rfam family: Bacterial small subunit ribosomal RNA
Source: RNAcentral
GAUGAACGCUGGCGGCGUGCCUAAUACAUGCAAGUCGAGCGAACAGACGAGGAGCUUGCUCCUCUUACGUUAGCGGCGGACGGGUGAGUAACACGUGGAUAACCUACCUAUAAGACUGGGAUAACUUCGGGAAACCGGAGCUAAUACCGGAUAAUAUAUUGAACCGCAUGGUUCAAUAGUGAAAGACGGUUUUGCUGUCACUGAUAGAUGGAUCCGCGCCGCAUUAGCUAGUUGGUAAGGUAACGGCUUACCAAGGCGACGAUGCGUAGCCGACCUGAGAGGGUGAUCGGCCACACUGGAACUGAGACACGGUCCAGACUCCUACGGGAGGCAGCAGUAGGGAAUCUUCCGCAAUGGGCGAAAGCCUGACGGAGCAACGCCGCGUGAGUGACGAAGGUCUUCGGAUCGUAAAACUCUGUUAUUAGGGAAGAACAAAUGUGUAAGUAACUAUGCACGUCUUGACGGUACCUAAUCAGAAAGCCACGGCUAACUACGUG